UUUUUUUUUUUUUUUUUAAUGCCACCUGCGGCAUGCAGAAGUUCUGGGGGCAAGGAUCAAACCUGCACCACAGCAGUGACAAUGCUAGGACCAGGGAACUCCCACCUCCUUCCCUCUUUGAUUGCCCAGUGGUUAGACUGGGUGUUACUGGAAGCUGAGGACAGGAGGAAGACAAGGAGAAAAGCAGAGGCGAGUGGGGAACAAGAACUAUGGGGUGGGGUCCUUCCCACUCCGCCAGUGGCUCCCUGAGGGCCCUCCAACUCAGGUUCCCAAGUGGACCAGCCUGCCCACAUCCCUGGUAAAGGAUGGUCACCCUGACACUAGAGCACAGCUGGUCUUUAGCACCCCCUGGAACAGAGUGCCUACACAGGUCGCUUCACACGGCGUACUGAUGACACUGUAAUACCAUGUGUUUUCGUGCCUGCCUUUCUCACCCCAAGGCCUCUCCUUUUUUUCUAGGACCCAGCUCCUCCCAGGUGGGCAGGAAAUAUUAGUGAAUAAAUCACUUCACAAAUGCCUAACCAAGCUCUGGGACAUGCCACCUUUGCUACCACAUCUGAACUUAAUACAACCACUACCAGGAGAAAUAAGAACACAUGCCCUGCUCCAUAUAAGAUCCCAGCAAAUGGAGAAGAAGUGGUACAUAUAUACAAUGGACUACUACUCGGCUAUAAAAACGAACAAAAUAAUGCCAUUGGCAGCAACAUGGAUGGAACCUGAGAUUCUCAUACUAAGUGAAGUAAGUCAGAAAGAAAAAGACAAAUACCAUAUGAUAUCACUUAGAUGUGGAAUCUAAAAUAUGGCACAAAUGAACCUAUUGACAAAACAGAAGCAGACUCACAGCCUUAGAACACUUUUGUGGCUGCCAAGGGGGAGGGAGUGGGAGAGACUGGGAGCUUGGGGUUAUUAGAUGCAAACAACUGCAUUUAGAAUGGAUGGGCAAUGAGGUCCUACUGUACAGCACAGGGAACUAUAUCGAAUCUCUUGAGACAGACUAUGAUGGAAGAGAAUAUAAGAAAAGAAUGUAUAUAUAUAUAUAUAUAUGUAUGACUGGGUCGCUUUGCUGUACAGCAGAAAUUGGCACAACAUUGUAAAUCAACUAUACUUUAACCUAAAAAAAUAAGGAAAAAAACACAAAAAAACCCACAGCAGACAGGGAGGAAGUAAGCCCAAUGCAUUUGACAGUAAUUGUCCGGCUCUAGGAGACCCACGACUGCAGUCUCCUGAAGUCAGGUGUUUCAUAACUUUGCUCUGGCACCUGAAAGGAGGGUAAUCUAGUGAUCCUGGCAUUUUGCUACCCAAAGUGUGGUGUCUAGUCUGGCAGCAUCAAGCAUCACAUGGGGGGUUGUUGGAAGUGCGGGAUCUCAGACCCCACCCAGACCUGCUGAAUCAGAGUCUGCAUGUGACAAGAACACAGAUGCAGGAUUGAGUGGUAAGGCCUUCGAAUAUAUAGAGAGAAAGGCUGAGGAGUGGGGAGACCAGUGAGGUGAUGAAGAGUACCUUGGAGGACAGGUGUUCACUGCAUCUAGUAAUAUCUUAACUCAUUAUUAUUCAACAGUCAAAGAAGAUCAGAGACCCAGAGUACUACAUGUGACAUCUGAUGCCAACACCAGCCUGCCUGAUCCUAGUAUGGCCUGCAUGAGAUCUUUCUCAUACAAAGAUUCACAAGGGAACUAGAAGGCCAGCGGGACAUACCCACCAGCCACUUGCCCACCAAAGGCUUGGCCACUUCCUCUUGUCCCUAGGAGGCCUAUCUUGACAACCCCAACCCCCCUUUACCUCCCCUCCUCAGGAGAAAUUGACUAUUUCCUACUUUAUUCCCAGCACAAAGUAGACACUCAAUAAUUGUGUGCCAAAUAAUGAAAGUGUUGUGCUAGCAGGCUUGGAUCAAUUAGUGAUUGUAAUUGAGGCUGAAUGUAAUUAAUUAUAUAAUUUGGGGCUGUUCAAGUUUAAUUCUACUGAAAUUGCAUCAUGAGAACAGGGCAUGAGGAAGGAUUACAGACAAGGAGAGGAGCUAAGCUUCCGCAAACAAUAGGUGCACAACGAUAAACAUUAAAAGGGCUGAGUAACUAGGGCAUUCUGAUCCUGAAUCCCAUCUGGACAAAAAUUAAGGUCCAAAAUCAAAGACUGUACCCCCUUACCAGGGUUAUGCAGCAGUGGGCACUCUCAGCAGCAGACUCUGCUCAGUGUGGGGACAUUAAUCCUUGCCUUGAUCCACUUCUACUGUGGCACGUUUGUGUUAUUCAUGCCCCGUAAGUCUCCUCUCGGUGCUCACACUCAGAGAGUUCCAGAGCUAAAAAGGCUCUUGGGGGAUCGUUAGACCAGUGAGUUUUAGCCCAACUGGACCUAACAUACACGUUUCUUAACAGCAAAUAUUUUGUAAUGCCCCAACCAUCCCGAAACAAAAUCCAUAGAUUUCAUUUGUCUACCUACACAUAUGUGUGUGUGUGUGUGUGUGUGUGUGUGUGUGUGUGUGUGUGUGUGUGUGUAUGCAAUAUACCUGCAUGAUUUUUAAGCAGACUGAUGCAGAUGGGUUACACUGGCUCUUCAAACGCAGGCUCUGCACUGCCAUCAGUUAUGUGAUUUCCCAUAGGAAUAAGCAAUAAUUCCUAAAGAAAUCAUCCCUCAACUCUCAUGGUAAUUCCAUUCCUGGAAAAUUCAACAAAAAUUUAAAAUUCAACAUGAGGGAUUCCUGUCAUGGCUUAGCGGAAAUGAAUGUGACUAGUAUCCAUGAGGACGCAGGUUCAAACCCUGGCCUCGCUCAGUGGGUUAAGGAUCCUGUGUUGCCAUGAGCUGUGGUGUAGGUCGCAGACAUGUCCCCAGAUCUGGCAUUGCUGUGGCUGUGGCUGUGGCUGUGGCUGUAGCCGGCAGCUACAGCUCUGAUUCAACUCCUAG
RNAcentral lists this long non-coding RNA (2895 nucleotides) under Sus scrofa (pig). RNAcentral's name for it is "lncRNA (ENSSSCG00025064573.1)". The record is from RNAcentral. Lineage: Eukaryota; Metazoa; Chordata; Mammalia; Artiodactyla; Suidae.